Molecule: long non-coding RNA, 5052 nt
Filed under: Sus scrofa (pig)
Lineage: Eukaryota; Metazoa; Chordata; Mammalia; Artiodactyla; Suidae
Description: lncRNA (ENSSSCG00000063088.1)
Source: RNAcentral
UAUAUAUAAAUAACAUAUAUACACAAUUACAGUGUUAAUACUAAGUAAUAGUUUCAUUGUCCUAAAAAUCCCCUGUGAUCAUCCUUCCCAGAAUCCCUGUCAACAUCGAUAUUUUUAUUGUCUCCAUAGUUUUGCCUUUUCUAGAAUGUCAUAUAGUGGAAAUAACACAGCAUGUAUCCUUUUUCAGAUUGGCUUCUUUCACUUAGUAAUAUGUAUUUAAAGUUCUUCCACAUCUUUUGGAGGCUUAAUGACUCAUUCUUUUUAACAGCCAUGUAUUUUUCCUGCUAGAAAUAAAUUUUAAUUCUUCCAAAAUGGCUGUACCAUUUUGCCUUCCCACAAACAAUGAAUGAAAGUUCUUGUUGCUCUUCAUCCUCACCAGCUUUUGAUUUUGUUAGUGGUCUGAAUUUUGGGUAUUCUAUUAGGUGUGCAGUGGCAUCUCAUUGCUGUUUCAAUUUGAAUUCCCUAUGAAGUUAAGCAUUUUUGCAUAUGCUUAUUUGCUCUCUGUGUAUCUUCUUUGGUAAGAUGUUUCUUCAGAACUUUUAUUAAUUUUUAAAUUGGGUUACUUGUUUCAUUACUGGUGAACUUAAGCAUUCCUUUGUAUAUCAAUUCUUUAGCUGAACAUUAUAUGUUUUGCAAAGAUUUUAUCCCAUGUUCCUCCACUUUAUUCCUUAAAACACAAUCUGCUAUGCUCAAAUUAAAAAAGAAGGCUUGCUUUCUCUGCAUAUCAUGCUCUCUCUUAUUUCCAUGACUUUGCACAGGUGACUCUCCUGAAAUCUGCAUUCAAGGCAGAAAAAACUUUACUUUUACUUGAAGUAUAUAAAGUAUUAGAGGAGUUCCCGUUGUGGUUCAGUAGUUAAUGAAUCCGACUAGGAACCAUGAGGUUUUGGAUUUGAUCCCUGGCUUUAUUCAGUGGGUUAAGGAUCCGGCGUUGCUGUGAGCUGUGGUGUAGGUCGAAGACGUGGCUUGGAUCCUGAGUUGCUGUGGCUCUGGUGUAGGCCAGUGGCUAUGGCUCCGAUUCAACCCCUAGCCUGGGAACCUCCACAUGCUGCAGGAGCAGCCCAAGAAAUGGCAAAAAAGACUCCCCCCCCCAAAAAAAGUAUUAGAGGAGUAUAUCAUAUCCUGUGUGAAACCUUCCUGUAUUUCAGAUUUAGUGCUUCUAUUCUCUGUCCUCACAAAUUACUUUGUAUAUCCUUCAAUUAAAACACUUAGCACAUUGUAUUCUCUCUCUGGUUUAUGAUCCUGCCGACCAAAUGGAUCAUGAGUAUCUCAAGGACAGGGAUCAUAUAUUUUACAUCUUUAUACAAUUCUCCAGUCCUCCAUGUAAGAAAAAAGAUGCAUGACAGACACAAAUUGCAUGAAGGAAUAACCAGAAUAAACCUAGAGGGGUUAGGUAUAGGAGGAGACAUCAUGAGUUAUUUCACAGAGCAUUUCAUGAUAGAAAUUACAUGCUUCAAGAUGGAGGAAUGGAGAAUAGCCAUUGACUAGAAAUGAAUGAAAACAUUUUGAAACACGGUAGAAACACAUCCAUUAAUGGCAAAUUUUUUUGUUUUAGAAGGCUCUCUCUUUUUUCAUAAUUGUAAUACACAGCAUAUUAUAAAAAAUACCCCAAAUAUAGAAAAAUAUAGAGAAAAUAAAAUUACCUAUAAUCCCACCAUUUAGACACAUGGAUGAUUAACAAUGGAUUGUUGUCCAUUCAUCCAGACUUUUUUGUUAUACAUUUACCGUGUUCUUUUUCUAACAAAGUCUAUUCUAAAAAAUGUUAUGUUAAAAUAUUAAAUAUUUGCCUUAAGAAGAGAGAGAAAAGGAGCCAUAUACUCAAAAAUUUAAUACUUGAAUUCUACUGCUCUGGUCAAUUUUCGCUUUUCCAGAAAAUCCACACUCAGAAACUUUAUUGCAUAGUAUCACAAACUUUUGAUUCUGCUAUCUAACAAUUAGCUUUUUCAUAUUAUAACCUCCUCAAUAGUAUUGAUAAAAUGAGCAGUUUUCAUAUCAGAAACAAAACAAGUGAGAUGGGUUUGUAAAUUGCCUAGAGAACAUCUCAUAUGAUUCUCUUUAUUUUAUAGGAAAAUAUACAAAGGCAGUACUUUUAUUUUUCCAAUAGGAAUUGGUAUUAGAGUAUGGUAAUAUUUUUUAAACAAGUGAGUGAUGUCUUCUGAAAAUGACAAUGUCUAAAUAUUCAGUGAAUUCCAGGAUUCUAUCAUGAUAGCCUCUAAAAUGACCCCCAAUGAUCCCCAGCUCCUAGUAGUAACACCCCUGUGUAAUAGUCACUCAGAGUUGUAGCUUCUCUUACUUCUGGUGUCUGCUCCCCUUGUGGCUGAAGUUGGUAUGGGCGCUUGCUGUAGGCUUCCUGAUGGGAGGGGCUGAUUCCUGCCCACUGGUAGGUGGAGCCAAUUCUAAUCCCUCUGGUGGGUGGGGCUUAGUCUCUGGAUGGGAUUAGAGGCAGCUGUGCCUAAGGAGUCUUUAAGUAGCCUGUUUACUGAGGGGUGGGGCUGUGAUCCCACCUGGAUUGUUGUUUGCUCUGGGGCUUCUCAGCACUGACUGAGGGUGGGGCCGGAUUUUCCCAUAAUGGCCACCUCCAGAGAAAGGCACGCUGCUGAAUAUUCCCGAGAGCUUUGCUUUCAAUGUCCUUCCCUCACAACAAGCCACACUCACCCCUGUUUUCCCAGGAUGUCCUCCAAGAACUGCAGUCAGGUUUGACCCAGAUUCCUAUGGAGAUUUUGCUUUGCCCUGGGACUCAGUGCAAGUGAAAGUCUGUGUGCGCCUUUUAAGAAUGAGAUCUCCGGGAGUUCCUGUCAUGGCUCAGUGGGAAGGUAUCCGACUAGGAACCAUGAAGUUGCGAGUUCAAUCCCUGGCUGCGCUCAGUGGGUUAAGGAUCCGGCAUUGCUGUGAGGUAGGUUGCAGACAUGGCUUGGAUCUGGUGUUGCUGUGGCUCUGGUGUUUGCCGGCAGCUGUAGCUGUAGCCCUAGCCUGGGAACCUCCAUAUGGCGCAGGUGCGGCCCUAAAAAGACAAAAAAAAAGAAUGGGGUCUCCGUUUCCCCCAGUCCUGUGGAGCUCCUGUGCAUAAGCCCCACUGGCCUUCAAUGCCAGAUCCCCACACGUAUAAGUUUGAUGUGAGGCUCAGAACUCUCACUCCUGUAGGUGAGUCUCUGUGAACCAGUUAGUUUCCAGUCUGUGAGCCUUCCCACCCAGGAGGUAUGGGGUUGUUUAUAACGUGAAAUCACCCCUCCUAUCUCUUGAUGUGGCCUCCUCUUUUUCAUUUGGAGUAGGAUAUCUUUUUUAAGGUUUCCAGUCCAUUUGGGUGAAAAACGCUCAGCCUUUAGUUGUGAAUUUUGUUGUUUUUAGGAGAGAAGUUGAGCUCAGGUCCUUCUGUUCCACUAUCUUAAUCCCAUCUCCAUAGUCACUCUUUUUUUUUUUUUUCAUAGUCACUCUUAUAGUGUGGGCUCUGUAUAUUGACUCACAUCGAAUAAGUAAAAUAUGGCAGACGUAAUGGGAUGUCACCUCAAAAUUUCCAAGUUCCAAGACACUGGCUUUCAUCUUAAGUGCAUUCUCUCUCUCUCUCUCUCAGUCAUUAUCUCUGAAGGAAACCAGCUGCGCUGCUGUGAGGCACCUUUGUGGGAAGUCCAGGUGUGAAGGAUCUAAGCCAACCAGUAACUAUGUGAGUGAACUUGGAAGUUGAUUAAUGUGAUCAUGCUUUCUAAACUGUUUACCAUGUUAUUUUCAUUUAACCUUACAUUAGUACUCAAGUGGGCUCUUGGUACCAUGGCAGGAAUUAAAUGCUUCAGCUGAAAGAAGUAAAAAGAGAUCUGGCUAGAAGUUUUAGGUUGUGUAUUUCACCUCCUGAAAGACUAUACCUAAGCAACUCACUAGAGGGCACUCUUUCUAGUAGCUAGCCCCAUUUAGGAAUUUUUAUAUUCUAAUAUUGGCUCUUGGAGGUCAUAACUUUCCACUAGAUCAUUUAGGCUUAAGGAAUAAUGGGAAAAAAGUUUACAAUUCCAAUACAAACCCCAAAGUUUUAAAUGUGUGGCAGAUUUCUCUUAUGUUAGAACUGUUCCAUUCUGAUGUGGGACUAUUUGCAGUUUUUAUUAAUCUACUUUGCUUGCAUAUUUAUACACUUUACAGCAAAAAAAUUAAUAGGCUUGAUUAAGAAAUUCCCCAUACCCUGAUGGGGAGUUACCAUAAUUACAGUAAAAGCAGUAUGUUCCUAACAUCUGUAAAAACAUUCUGAAAAACAUCUACUCAUAAAUUUUUGGACACUGGAUUAUGUACCUCUGUUGGCUUCCUUGGAAUAUCAUCUCAGACAAAUGCAAGACUAAGAGCUAGAAUCAUAAGAUAGACCCAACUUUCAAUAAUAGAAAAGGCUUAUUUACUCUCCCAUUCCAAUUUGUCACUCCUAUCCUCCAAAUGUGGACAUACAGAAUUGCUCAUAAUAUUAAUAGGACUUUUGGAACAUAUGGUGUUGAUAUUGGCUUCUGAACUGAAGCUGUGCUUAACAUCAGGGGGCAUUGUGGGGAGUGAGGUCAAGUUUCGGGCAUCAUCUAGAAGAAACUUUUGUCACUGGAACAAAACACUGCAUCCCUGAUGUCUGUCCAAGACCAUUUUUAUGUAAUAUUUUUCUUCUACAUCUAUCCAGAAGCAAGGAUAUGAUGCUUUCUAGUUGAUCAUCCUCAAAGUUAAUUCAUUAUAAGUUAAGGAAAAUUCCUUGCUUUCAUGUACUCCUGGGGCCCAAGCAUUAGAAAUGUAGACUCACUGCUAACUGGCUUAAUUAUUAAUUCAAAUCUUGAAGCAUUACAUGUGAAAUAAUAUCUAGGCAGUCUCUGAUUUAGUGAUUCAAAAUCAUGGAUGGGAAACAUUAUUAGCUUAUUACCUAGUAUUUUAAAAGGGCUAUGAUUUUUUUUAAAGUUAUUUUAGCUUUUAAACCUCAGUUUUUCCAUGUAUACAGUGGUGAAAAUAAUUAUUUAUAAUCUUUCUGGAGUCCCCGCUGUGGGGCAACAGUAUAGAUGGUAUCUUGGGAGUGUUGGGACACAGGUUCGAUCCCUGCCCCAGCACAGUGGG